This 398-nucleotide ribosomal RNA is filed under the name uncultured bacterium. Its description in RNAcentral is "bacterial SSU rRNA". It matches the Rfam family "Bacterial small subunit ribosomal RNA", at positions 355 to 768 of the family's 1533-position model. The record is from RNAcentral.
UGGGGAAUAUUGCGCAAUGGGGGAAACCCUGACGCAGCGACGCCGCGUGUGGGAUGAAGGUCUUCGGAUUGUAAACCACUGUCGCGAGGGACGAAGCUCUGACGGUACCUCGAAAGGAAGCACCGGCUAACUCUGUGCCAGCAGCCGCGGUAAUACAGAGGGUGCGAGCGUUGUCCGGAAUCACUGGGCGUAAAGGGCGCGUAGGCGGCCCGGUAAGUAGGGGGUGAAAUCUCUGGGCUUAACCCAGAACGGCCAAGUGAUACUGUCGCGCUAGAGUGCAGAAGGGGCAAUCGGAAUUCUUGGUGUAGCGGUGAAAUGCGUAGAUAUCAAGAGGAACACCUGAGGUGAAGACGGGUUGCUGGGCUGACACUGACGCUGAGGCGCGAAAGCCAGGGGAG